This 1960-nucleotide unclassified non-coding RNA is filed under the name Hevea brasiliensis (rubber tree). Lineage: Eukaryota; Viridiplantae; Streptophyta; Magnoliopsida; Malpighiales; Euphorbiaceae. The record is from RNAcentral.
AUCUCUGCAGGCUUUCAAAGGGUGAGGAGUGAUGAGAUUCUUUGUUGCAUUGAUAAAUUAGCUCUUUCACUUAUAUCAUCAUUCAAUUGCUUCUUUACAGUUUCAAGAUGAUUACGAGAUUUAACUUUUGGAUUCAACUCAGUUAUUUUAUGAACCAUUGUUGGAAAGGAUAUAGCAACAAACUUGUGGGAUCCCUAAUACAAAAUUGACAAAGGAAAAUGGGUUGAGUAAAAGUUCCAAACUGAUAUAGGAAGUAUCUAAAAGGAAUGGUCUUUAAAAUAGGGUUUUCAAGGAUUCAAGUGCUACAAGUAAAAGCUACAGAAGGGGUAAUUUGUGUUAGUGAUUCAGUCUAUCAAGUAUAUAAUUAGGAACCAAAAGAAGAUAAAGGAAGACUUAAGAGCUGCAUUAUGGUUGCACCUAUGCAUUAUACCCGUAAUGGUGAGCUAUUUUUGAGGAGUAUGAUUUUGAUUUGGGGAUUUGGGGUUUCUUAUGUUUGAUUCUAAUAAAGGUUUGAUGAAUGGAAUGAAAACUGAACAUGAAUGUAUAAAUUUGCUUGUGAGCUUCAAGGAAAGAUAUAGUGUCAUACCUAAACUUCCUAGGCCAUCACAUAUCAUUGGUAUCCAACUUAUAGUUAAGGUCACAUCACAUAAAAUCCUAAAGAGGACAAAGGGCUUGUUUAAUUAUGGAAAACUAGUGCUAUUUUUAAUAAGUUCUUCCACAUAAUAAAAAUAAUGGAGUUCUGUAUUCAGAUUUAAUCAUUUUCAGGUUCCAAAUAUUUAUCAACGCUAUAAAACAAAAAAAACACUUGUUUACAAUUAUUUUUCUGUAAGACUCCACUUCCCUUUUGCUUGUCAUAUAUCCUUUAUUUCUACCAGCACCAGACAGCCAUCCCCCUUCCACUCUCCCUCCAGCAGCAUUACUACCACGAUGAAAUCAACAAUGAGAACAUCUUUAAUAUUAUUGACAAUGGUACUACCACCUCAACCACAUUGCUGCUGUUGGCAAUGCUAUAAUCGUCACUUUUACUGCUAUCAUGCACUGCCAUUAGUGCCAUUGCCAUAACACCAUUAUUAUUGGUUAUCAAUGCCGAAACUGAUGACAUUUCCACCACCUCACACUGUCAAUGGCAGUAUAAUCAUAAAUGCUGCUUGUUGCUGUUGGCUUCAUCACAGCCAUUGCCACUUUCCACCACUUUCCAUCGCCACUGCCCAAAUGUCCUUUUCCUAGCUCACAUCAAAUAAGUCUUACUUUUUCAUAAAUAUAAAUAUAAUAUAACUCCUAAAUAGAAAAGAAUUGACAAGGAAUCCUAAAUCAUGCAAUGAAUUAUAAAGAAUAGUUCUAUCUUUUCCCACUUAUUUAUGUCAGUCGCUUAUAACUGAAAUCGCAACUGAUAUCUAUAUUUUUUAACUUAUUUUGCUCCAAUAUUUUGAUUGGUCAUGACAGCUUUCUAAUUCGGGGGUGUUCAAUUUUUGCCUAAAACUUGUGUUUAUGUUAGCGCCUUUGUCAAUAAUUUGGUUUGUAUUUGAUUAAGAAGGAUCCUUUAAUAAUUUAUCUCUGAAAUGGGUCAUAUCAUGUUGUGUUCGUAUCAGGUUAUAUAUUCAGGAUUUUCUUAGUAACUUUGUGUCAUAUCCAAAAUUGGCUGGCCUAUUUCUAAUUACUUUUGCCUAUUUAAUGUUUAUUUUUGUUUUUCAACAUUUUCAUUUUCAAUGUUCUGACUUCCUGUGAUUUUCUUUAGAAAAAGCAAUAACUGAAAAAUUUAAAUUGCAUACAGACAAAUUUGAGUGGAUCAAAAUUAUAUGUUGUUUAAAACAGAUGUUGGCCAUUAUAAUUGGCUUACAGUGAGCAAAUGAUUAGGCAUGAACCUGCCAAAAUUAUGAAGUUCGAGUCUUUCAACUUGAAUUUUGGUCCAUUUGAAAUAUAAAGACCCCCUUUGGCAGGUGUUGAAGAACUUUCUUGAUAC